Molecule: long non-coding RNA, 496 nt
Filed under: Bos taurus (domestic cattle)
Lineage: Eukaryota; Metazoa; Chordata; Mammalia; Artiodactyla; Bovidae
Description: long non-coding RNA NONBTAT001825
Source: RNAcentral
UUUUGAAUAAUGCCUGAGAAAUUUAAAAAGAAAAAAAAAAGGACAAACUUGGAUAUAAUAUCACUAGUGAAAAUAAAAUUAUUCACUCUGUGGUCCCAAAAUAUGAGUUUAAGCCAUUUAAGAACCAAGAUUUCCAGAGCUUUGUUUCCUAGUAUAUUCCUGUUCCUUGCACUGUGUUAAAUGACUAAAUCCUAAAAUUUAUUUGCACUGAUAUUUACAUAGAAGGAAUUGAAAGGUAAAAUCCUAUGUAAUAGUAAAUUACUUACUAUUAAUGGAAAUUUCAAGGUAAUAGAAAAAUUACUUAUAUUGGAUAUGUAAAUAUUUCUUUUUUAAAAAUCAUAUCAGACGUACCUGUUUAAGUUUGUUGACUCAUUUUCAAGUUAAAUAAAAAACACAGAACUUAGUCUGGUAUAUCAGAAAACUGAAUUAUAAUAAAGGAAGACCUAGAUUUAUUCUUUGUCCCUGACAGUCAGUGGAAUGAAAAGAGAGGAAAACU